Molecule: long non-coding RNA, 3992 nt
Organism: Eriocheir sinensis (Chinese mitten crab)
Lineage: Eukaryota; Metazoa; Arthropoda; Malacostraca; Decapoda; Varunidae
Exons: 2
Source: RefSeq, a predicted model, not a curated record
GUUUCAGAAUUGAUUUACGUUCGUCACUCUGGAAACUGUUUUUGCUUUUUUUUCUCGUUUUUUUUUUAAAGUUAGAAAAUGAGUUUAUUUAGUGCUCUUUUUUCUCUAAAUUAAUUUCAUUGCAUUUUGUUUUGAAUCUCCUAAUGUUUCUUUCGUUAGUUAUAUAGUUAGCUCUUUUAAAAUGUUAGUUCAUUCUGAUUAGUGUUUUUUUUAUCUCUUUAAUGGUCUAGAAACGAGUGGUGUUUUUUUUUAUCUACUAAUUUUAAUCUUUUUUCUUGCGAACUCUUAUUUUCUUAAGUAAUGUUCCGUCUUGUCAAAGGGUCAAAAUCAUUCUUAUCGAUAUAUUUGUACUUUGUUUUUUCCAUCAUUAUUUUCUUUUUACUAAUUCAGACACGACCCCCUCUCCGUUUUUUUGUCUAUACGAAUUUUAUUGUUCUUUAAAUUUCUCUCGUAAUGUUGAAUUUGUCAAAGUGUCAAAGUUUAUUACGUCAUUCCCUCUGGUUGGCGCAUUCGCACUCUGUUUACGGUGGAUGUCACGAGUAGGAGAACCUUUUGUAACACCCACGAGAACCGCUUUAUACUGCCAGAGACGCUUCAGGGCCACCGUUGCCAGAUUAUCGUACUCAGAGCAUAGUAUUACCGGUUUCUGACACCUAACUAUCGCCAAGAAACAUCAGGAUCUAACUCUUUUAACGAUAACUAUAAAUGAGUUUCGUUAUUAGAGCCCAGAAGACAGUUUUGGGGUAGGAAGUCGGGAAAUAUAAGCGGCUGAGUACGACAAUCUGGCAACGUUGCUCAGGGCCGGUGCCACAGUCCAACACGGAGACAAUGUAAGCGCACUAACCUAACCAGACUCGGGUUUUGCACUCACCACCACCGUUGCCAGAUUAUCGUACUCAGAGCCGUGUAUUUACCGGUUUCUUGCCCAUAAUUGUUGUCAAGAAGCACCAAUAAUUAACCAUUUAAACGAUAACCAUAUAUGAAGGCAGUUAUUCGGGGGAUGAAAGCAGUUUUUGGGUCGGAAAUCGGCAAACAUAAGAGGCAGAGUACGACAAUCUAGCAACGUUACGAAUCAUCACCCGAUACUAAAGAGAUUUCCUGUAUAGUUUCCUCAAAGUUCUUAGCUUCACAAUGGCCAUCAAACACUAGACAAUAAAUUUUCCUAGUCUUUGGUAUAUGGUUUGGAAGCGUAGAAACAAUGCCCACCCAAAACAUUAGGGUCUUGUUACUAUUGAGAUUUCCUACAUAGUAAAAAGCAAACAGUAUGCAAGAGGUUUUCGCAGGCUUUGUUAAUUGUUUUGGGAGCUUAUCAAAAACUACAUAAGAAAUUAUCGUGUUCUUUUGUGCUUGGUUAGUGUUACCGCCGCUCGUGAAAGGUGCAAACAUGGGAGUAGUAGUGAAGUUUGGGGACAGCAGUAGGCUAUUGGGUGUGGCGGAAAAGUUAGGGAGCGUUCAAACCAUACACUAUACUAUACUUAUUUCGUAGUCUUUGGUUAGGGAACAUAUACAACCAAGUACUGUAAUAAUUUCUAGUGUUCUUUCGUAUUUGUUUAGGGAAUGAUGUAACCAUACACUAUAAAUAAGAAAUCUACUGGGCUUUAAUAUUUGGUUAGGGAUCUCACCAACCAUUAUAUUGGAGAAAUACUCGUGUUCUUUCGUAUCUAGUUUGGGAACGUAAAAAUCACACACUAUACAAGAUAUUUCCUACUCUUUUAUUUUUAUUUUUUUUUGUGCAGUAGAGGAAACAGUUAAAAGAUAAAACAAGAACAAAACAGGUAUAAAAAACAUGCUAUAAACAAGGCCAUUAGCAACUCCUAUUUAUGUUUACUUAUUUAACUUUUGGAUAUAUUGGGAAUCCUUGGACUUGUAGUAGGGGAAGUAGUCUGAUUAGUAUAAAAAAAACUCGCUCAUGAUAAGGUUAGGGAGUGCACAAACAAACGCGCUGUGUCGAACUGUGGAACUGGCCUUAAGACAGCGUGAAUUAUCCUAUCCUUACUUAUUAUGAUGAAAAGUGUUGGUCCUGACGUGAGGGGAACAUGCUAUUGACGAGGCCAUUAUCAACUCCUAUUCAUGUUUACUUAUUUAACGUUUGCAUACAUUGGGUUUCCUUGGACUUGUGGCAGAGGUUAAAAAUAUAUUGUUACUCUGAUUAAAAAGCGAUAUCAAAAAGGAAUGACUGGAAAAAUAGUUAAAAUAAGUCAAUAUAUAGUUACUUAUUCGCCUUCACCGAUCCUAGGCUACGAUGAUGUUAACUUUUCGGUAAUGUUUAAACCUCAAGUGACUAGAGUUCAAUUACAUAGCUAUUGUGUCUAUGUAAUUAGAGAUCGAGUUAUGUCAAUGGUGUGAGUCCACGUCCUCGCCAUCUUGCCUCACCCAUCCUACUGACUGUUUUUACAUGUGUUUAUACUAAGACCCUGAGGCAACAACGACGCCAUCUUGCCCUGUCCAACGUGUUGUAUGUGUUUGUGCCUUCCUGAAACAACUGACCACGCAAUCUUGCCUUACUCAGUGUCGUGUUGAUGAUGACGUAGUGCCGAGGCCAUGAGUACGCCAUCUUGCCUCACCAUCUUAUGUUUUGAUGAAUAUUUACGUGUUGAGGCCAUUAGGACGCCAUCUUGCCUCUUGAUGUUUCACUUAUGAUGUCCAUAUUUACGUAUUGAGGCCAUAAAGACGCCAUUUUGCCUCACUGUGUUGUGUUUCGGAUGAUUAUUUACGUGUUAAGGCUAUUAGAACACCAUCUUGUCUUUCUAUGUUGGUUAUGAUGACCUUAUUUACGUGUUGAGGCCAUAAAGACGCCAUCUUGCCUCUAUUUGUGUUUAUGAUGACUGUAUUUACGUGUUGAUUCCGUGAGGACGCCAUCUUGCCUCACUAAGUUAUCUUGAGGCUAUUAUGACGCCAUCUUGCCUCUAUGUUGUGUUUAAGAUGACUAUACUUAUAUGUUGAGGCAUUGACGACACCAUAUUGCCCCACCUACGAAGCUAUGCGUGUAUGUGCCUUCUCUAUACUGCUGGGCUGAGGCAAUGAGUACGCCAUCUUGCCACGCCCACUGUAUGGUCAACCUGUACACAUUAUUUUGAGUCCGGCGUUACGUAGUGUUGCUUCCUCUGUUUCCUGUCUGUGUAGUGUUAGUCAGCGUUAGAUCAGUCCCUCUGGCGCCCCCUGUGAGGACCUAGCGGAAACUCCUUUGUUGUAUGCUCUGUUCACGCUAACUAGGCGAAUAAGCUCCACCCCUUUUCCCAUAUUCAUUGUAAUUCUUCUAUUAUUCCCUUGUAUUAUUUUUUGUCUGUUAUUCCUCGUUUAUUCCUCUAACUUUACUUUCCCCCAUUCACUGUAAACCUAUUAUUCUUAUAUAUUUUUUUCUUCUUCGUUUAUUUCCUUAACUUCUUUAUUCCUUGUUUUCCUAUUUAGUUUCUUUCGUUAUCUUUAUUAUUGAGUGCUAUUUUUUUUUAUCAUUACUACUACUAUUACUGCUACUACAACUACGACUACUACUACUACUACUACUACUACUAUUUUGCUGGUUCUUGCUGUUCUUCAGUUUUCUGUUCUCCUUUUCUUUUUGUUCUUCCCAUCUUCUUUUUCUUCUUCUCCAUUUUCCAUUUUCUUCUUUUUGUUCAUCCACAUUUUUUCUUCUUUCUCGUUCACCUUUUUAUCUUUAUUUACUUCCUCUUCAUUUUUAUUUUCUUUUUCAUCGUCCUCUAUUGGAUGCUGCUAAAGGUUGAAUCCUAUUGGUGGUUCUUGGUUGGCGUGGGCGGGGCUUAUUCUCGACGUUAACGUGAACAGAGUGUAACAACUGUCCUCGGGUUCGAAUCCUGCCCGAAGCGAGCGGCAGACGGUGCUCAGUUAACCAGCUUUCCCUCCCUGGCUUCCUCCCUUACCCGCUUUCCUUCCUUCCCUCCUCGCGAAUAGUGCAACGGCUGCUCAGUGUUACAAACAUGCUUCCAAAUUUGUACAAGAAUGUCUAUUUUUGGGAAAUAAACUUGCAACGGCUU